GCCCGAGUGGUGGAAUGGUAUACGCAGCGGACUCAAAAUCCGCCGGGAGCGAUCCCUUGCGAGUUCGAGUCUCGCCUCGGGCA
RNAcentral lists this transfer RNA (83 nucleotides) under Gemmatimonadota bacterium. RNAcentral describes it as "Gemmatimonadetes bacterium (activated sludge metagenome) tRNA-Leu". It matches the Rfam family "tRNA". From Rfam's summary of the family: Transfer RNA (tRNA) molecules are approximately 80 nucleotides in length. Their secondary structure includes four short double-helical elements and three loops (D, anti-codon, and T loops). The record is from RNAcentral. Lineage: Bacteria; Pseudomonadati; Gemmatimonadota. RNAcentral also lists the same sequence under 1 other name.